RNAcentral lists this long non-coding RNA (402 nucleotides) under Gopherus agassizii (Agassiz's desert tortoise). RNAcentral's name for it is "lncRNA (ENSGAGG00000010997.1)". Lineage: Eukaryota; Metazoa; Chordata; Testudines; Testudinidae. The record is from RNAcentral.
GUCAGAAUGUCGUGCAACUGGAGCUAAGAAAAGCCUCUGAGAAAAAACAAAGGAGCAUUGCAUCUUACCAUAACAUAAGAUGUGCACAUACAUUGAACCAAGACUGUAGCUGAUGUGCAGUGUCACUUACAACAUUAAUCAGAUACUGCAUUUAAGUCUAUUCAAGCUGCUUCUCAUCUGAUUUUUGACAACUGCUUCUAAAAAUUUAUCGAGAAGACCGAGAAUUCAGUUGAUCUCCAUCGCUUUACAUAAAAAUGGCUGGGUAUAUUGCCAUGUUAACACUGCAUUAGGAGGUACACACAGCCCACUCCACUUGUGAAGACUGAUUCAAAGAAUCUGGAUGAUCCCAGUCACUCAGGACUUAGCCCUCCAGGGUGCUAAGUGCUUUCAAUUUCAGAGAAA